RNAcentral lists this long non-coding RNA (568 nucleotides) under Fukomys damarensis (Damara mole-rat). RNAcentral describes it as "lncRNA (ENSFDAG00000022013.1)". Lineage: Eukaryota; Metazoa; Chordata; Mammalia; Rodentia; Bathyergidae. The record is from RNAcentral.
CCUCGAUGACUGGAGAUCUGCAGAGCCGCUCCUGGGAGCGAUCUUGGGUGUGUGGCACCCCGAAGCAGCCAUCUCCCGCUGGUCCUGGGUCCCAGCCAUCUUCCCAUGACAGCCCCGUCAUCCCCGUGGUGGAUUUCGGGCAUGGAAGCUGUUCCCACAAUUAAGGAGGGUCCUCCAGCGAGCCGUCUCCGCUCUUCUGCACUGACAGCAGACUCCAGGUUAUCCCACUUAGCAGAGGAGCUGUGCUCCCGGGAGCCUUGGGGGCCCUGGCCUCUUAAUGAACUCGUCUCUGGUCUCCUGCUGCCAGGCGCCCUCCUUCCUGUCAGCGGGCUGCUGGAUAGCAGGCUGUGUGAUUUGGAGCCACUGUGCCAGUCCCCAUUCACCCGCCCCUGGACUGCACCGUGUUGAUUUGGAAUGGGGCUGAACAGUGAGCCGGCCGGCAACCACGUGGAUGGCGGAAGGGUACCGACUGUUCCUGCACCUCAGUUUUCUUGCCUUAAUUUCAGGGCACCUUGGAAAGAAAAACAUAGUCUUUCCCCAGGAUAUCAUUCACUUGUCUGCAAAAGAC